RNAcentral lists this microRNA precursor (76 nucleotides) under Myotis davidii. Its description in RNAcentral is "mir-9229 microRNA precursor family". It matches the Rfam family "mir-9229 microRNA precursor family". The record is from Rfam by way of RNAcentral. Lineage: Eukaryota; Metazoa; Chordata; Mammalia; Chiroptera; Vespertilionidae.
GAGACACCCUUAUGGAGCAGGACUUGCUUCAGUGGGGCUUUGGUGCUCACUGCGUCUGCCCUUUGAGUGCGUUGCU